GUGUGUAUGGUGGAGGUGGAGCGCUGGCUGGAUGGCAUACUGGAACUGUCACCGGAUGCCGCGGACCAAGGAGUCUCAGAUAGACUACAGGAAGAGCUCAACACGUGGAAGGAAUAUGUAAGUAAGAUGGAGUUGGUGGAGGGUUCAGUGAAGCGGAUCGGAGAAAAUGAUUCGGUGGUGCAUGGGGCUGCAGUACCAAAGCUAGCCCACUGGGGGCAGGCUAAGCUGGAUGAGUGCCAGUGGAGGUGGGUGACCUGAGCAAACAGCUGCUGAGCCACCAGGGGCGUGUGAGUGAGAGCCAGGGGAGGCAGGUGAACCUGAAGAAAGACUUGGCAGAGAUGCAGGAGUGGAUGGCCCAGGUGGGCGAGGGGUUUCUCGUGAGAGAGACUUUGAGUACAAGAGUCCUGGGGAGCUGGAGGGCGCACUGGAAGAGAUAAAGAGGAUGUGCUACAGAAGGAAGUGAGAGUGAAGAUAUUGAAAGACAGCAUUAUCAUGUUGCUGGCCAAGAAUAAGACGCCCUCUGGUGGCGGAGGACAGGACCUGACAGAGGAGCUGGGGGGAGUCCUGGAGAACUACCAUAAACUCUGUGACCACUUCAAGAGCAAGUGUCACACGCUGGACGUAAAGAGUUUGACAAGACUAGUCCAAACUGCUGAUGAGUGUUAAUAUCAUAAGUCUUUCUCAGUACAAGGGACAGUCCAGGUCUCCUCUAUAGGAGGUGUGGUCAUGUUGGAUGGAGCUUCUGCAGUACUUGGACCUGGAGCAGGGCUGGCUCAACACUCUGGAGGAGAAGGUUCAGGCUACAGAGAACCUACCUGAGAGCACUGAGGCUGUCAAUGAGGCUUUGGAGGUCUUCCUUGAAAAACAGACUCUGGGUCUCAAUGGGCUUUUCCUGUUUAAAAAAAGGGGAGUGACAAAUUCCAGAGUGGAACUGAAGGCCCACAAUUGACAACCCUGCUAGAGGAUCUGGAUGACAUCAGUCUGAGUGUGGACAGUCUGAGAGACCAGGCCACCCUGAUGACCAGUAGAGGUCCUGCCUGCAGAGAUGUAGUGGAACCCAAACUGGCCAAACUCAACCGCAACUUCCACAUGGUCUCCCAGUGCAUCAAAGCUGCCAUGGAGAUGAGGGUGCUGAGAGUGCGACAGGUGGAGAUCUCCAUGGACUCUUCUUCUUUAUACAUCUUCACAGAGACACAAAGACAGGACCUGACUGGAGAAGUCAUUCAUUACACGCAGGCUUACUGUUUUUACUAGCUAGCUAGCUUGGUAUCUAAGGCUAAACUGUAACAGCUGUGAAUAAUUUUAUUCACUAUCAGUCUUUAUUUUAAUUACCUUGUUUUGUUGUGACAUAUGAUAGUUACGUUAAAGGGGAAGUUCACCCAUUGUUACAUGUGGCCUGAUUUUCACUCUUUCUGUGCUUUCAUCCUUUUUAAAAAUAUUUCAUUUUGGUUGUCACAUUUUGCGGAGUCAUCACUUGCCAUGGACUGUAAUGCAAAUACACUCUAAAACACUCCACACCAACUCAUAUUACAUCAGAAUCCUAUUCUGAAUGAUGUCUCUGCACUUAAUGUUGUAUUUGUUUUCACUGAGCCAUAAAUCCAUGUUUGAAAGAUGCUGUUUACAAUAACAAAAAUAUGCAAAUGUGGAUUCAUGGGACAGUGAAGAAACAUCAUUCAGAAUAUGAUUUGGAUUGGAGUGUUUUGGAGUCUUUUCUAACAUGCUUUAGACACAUUUUCAUAAUGCAUUGUAGUCGAUGGAAAGUGAUAACUCAGCAAAUAUUUUC
Molecule: long non-coding RNA, 1783 nt
Organism: Oncorhynchus tshawytscha (Chinook salmon)
Lineage: Eukaryota; Metazoa; Chordata; Actinopteri; Salmoniformes; Salmonidae
Source: Ensembl